Molecule: long non-coding RNA, 841 nt
Filed under: Vulpes vulpes (red fox)
Lineage: Eukaryota; Metazoa; Chordata; Mammalia; Carnivora; Canidae
Description: lncRNA (ENSVVUG00000010200.1)
Source: RNAcentral
CAUGGCUACUCCAUUGAAUCUGUGAUCUUCAGAGAAGCCUGUUUCCACUUGCUAAAGAAGUAUCCUUGAUGUUGUUCUUUUGUUGUUAGACAAACGGACAGUCCUAAAGAAAUGUCAGACUAUGAGCAGACAUUCUAUCAUUUAUUAAAGUAUGGGUAACUUUCCUACUGAGAAUAAGCCAAUAGUUUUGGACUUAUAGGUGAGAACGAAACAGGAAUCAGGGAACUGAGGGAAAUCUAUAAGAUGAGAAAUCCAAGAAGUAUAGAAUCAAAUGUUACCGAGUUAAAACAGGAGCUGCAAUUUUUAAUAGCUCAGCAGCAUCUGAAUAAGGCACAAGACAUAAACCACAUCUUCAUAGGGGGAAAAAGAGACUCUGCAAAGAUUCUGCAGUUCAAGGGAAAAAGUUUGGACAGCGUUCAUCAGCAGAGCCAGGCCUAGCUUCCCUGCUCAGAGACGGAGAGAAAACACAACAGACUGAGUAGAGAGAGCUGAAGAGCACGAUUCAGCCAAUGAUCACGAGGAUGCGAAGAGACCGCAAGGUACAAUGAGCCAAAAACCAUGCACCUGAGACCCAGCCUCCCAGGCAGCAAACACCCCUGCCAUCGCACGUGGCCGCUCCCUGCCCGUCCAGGUCACUGCCACCUUCUGCCCCAUCAGCAGCAAGUCUUUCCUUUCACAUGCAUCUGGGGGAGGUAGCCCCCCGACGUCCUAUUUUAUUACCAGGUGGGGAGAUGAAUGGCCCUUUGGUAAAUCCAGAAACACAGAGUGACCCUAUCAAAUCUUUUUUAAAAAUUGUAAUAUUCGUCUUCAUACUCCUGCUGCAAGACCAAAAUAAAGUCCA